RNAcentral lists this ribosomal RNA (489 nucleotides) under uncultured bacterium. RNAcentral describes it as "partial 16S ribosomal RNA". It matches the Rfam family "Bacterial small subunit ribosomal RNA", at positions 30 to 506 of the family's 1533-position model. The record is from RNAcentral.
AUUGAACGCUGGCGGCAGGCCUAACACAUGCAAGUCGAACGGUAACAGGAAGAAGCUUGCUUCUUUGCUGACGAGUGGCGGACGGGUGAGUAAUGUCUGGGAAACUGCCUGAUGGAGGGGGAUAACUACUGGAAACGGUAGCUAAUACCGCAUAACGUCGCAAGACCAAAGAGGGGGACCUUCGGGCCUCUUGCCAUCGGAUGUGCCCAGAUGGGAUUAGCUAGUAGGUGGGGUAACGGCUCACCUAGGCGACGAUCCCUAGCUGGUCUGAGAGGAUGACCAGCCACACUGGAACUGAGACACGGUCCAGACUCCUACGGGAGGCAGCAGUGGGGAAUAUUGCACAAUGGGCGCAAGCCUGAUGCAGCCACGCCGCGUGUAUGAAGAAGGCCUUCGGGUUGUAAAGUACUUUCAGCGGGGAGGAAGGGAGUAAAGUUAAUACCUUUGCUCAUUGACGUUACCCGCAGAAGAAGCACCGGCUAACUCCGU